RNAcentral lists this ribosomal RNA (533 nucleotides) under uncultured bacterium. RNAcentral describes it as "bacterial SSU rRNA". It matches the Rfam family "Bacterial small subunit ribosomal RNA", at positions 774 to 1308 of the family's 1533-position model. The record is from RNAcentral.
AGGAAAUAGAUACCCGGGUAGUCCACGCCCUAAACGAUGUCGACUAGGUGUUCGGUGAGGAGACUCAUUGAGUACCGCAGCUAAACGCGUGAAGUCGACCGCCUGGGGAGUACGGUCGCAAGAUUAAAACUCAAAGGAAUUGACGGGGACCCGCACAAGCGGUGGAUGAUGUGGAUUAAUUCGAUGCAACGCGAAAACCUUACCUACCCUUGACAUGUACGGAACCCUGCUGAGAGGUGGGGGUGCUCGAAAGAGAGCCGUAACACAGGUGCUGCAUGGCUGUCGUCAGCUCGUGUCGUGAGAUGUUGGGUUAAGUCCCGCAACGAGCGCAACCCUUGUCAUUAGUUGCUACGCAAGAGCACUCUAAUGAGACUGCCGGUGACAAACCGGAGGAAGGUGGGGAUGACGUCAAGUCCUCAUGGCCCUUAUGGGUAGGGCUUCACACGUCAUACAAUGGUCGGUACAGAGGGUUUGCCAAGCCGCGAGGUGGAGCCAAUCCCAGAAAGCCGAUCGUAGUCCGGAUCGCAGUCUGC